RNAcentral lists this ribosomal RNA (623 nucleotides) under uncultured archaeon. RNAcentral's name for it is "bacterial SSU rRNA". It matches the Rfam family "Archaeal small subunit ribosomal RNA", at positions 147 to 774 of the family's 1478-position model. The record is from RNAcentral.
UAAUACUCCAUAGAUUAGAGACACUGGAAUGUUCUUUAUUCGAAAGUUCUGGCGCCUUAGGAUGAAUCUGCGGUCGAUUAGGUUGUUGUUGGGGUAACGGCCCAACAAGCCUUUAAUCGAUACGGGUUGUGGGAGCAAGAGCCCGGAGAUGGAAUCUGAGACACGAUUGCAGGCCGUACGGGGCGCAGCAGGCGCGAAAACUUUACAAUGCAGGAGACUGUGAUAAGGGAACUCCGAGUGCCCGUAUACGCGGGCUGUCCAGGUGUUUAAAAAUCAUCUGAAGAAAGGGCCGGGCAAGACCGGUGCCAGCCGCCGCGGUAAUACCGGCGGCUCGAGUGGUGGCCACUAUUAUUGGGCUUAAAGCGUCCGUAGCUGGACCGAUAAGUCUCUUGGGAAAUCCGCCGGCUCAACCGGCGGGCGUCUAAGGGAUACUGUUAGUCUAGGGACCGGGAGAGGUGAGAGGUACUCCGGGGGUAGGAGUGAAAUCCUGUAAUCCCCGGGGGACCACCGAUGGCGAAGGCAUCUCACCAGAACGGCUCCGACAGUGAGGGACGAAAGCUGGGGGAGCGAACCGGAUUAGAUACCCGGGUAGUCCCAGCCGUAACUAUGGCGCGUGUAGGUGU